UCGACGAACUCUGGUAUUGAUUGGUGCUUGCAUCAUGAUUUACAUUUGAGUGAGUGGCGAACUGGUGAGUAACACGUGGGAAACCUGCCCAGAAGCGGGGGAUAACACCUGGAAACAGAUGCUAAUACCGCAUAACAACUUGGACCGCAUGGUCCGAGUUUGAAAGAUGGCUUCGGCUAUCACUUUUGGAUGGUCCCGCGGCGUAUUAGCUAGAUGGUGAGGUAACGGCUCACCAUGGCAAUGAUACGUAGCCGACCUGAGAGGGUAAUCGGCCACAUUGGGACUGAGACACGGCCCAAACUCCUACGGGAGGCAGCAGUAGGGAAUCUUCCACAAUGGACGAAAGUCUGAUGGAGCAACGCCGCGUGAGUGAAGAAGGGUUUCGGCUCGUAAAACUCUGUUGUUAAAGAAGAACAUAUCUGAGAGUAACUGUUCAGGUAUUGACGGUAUUUAACCAGAAAGCCACGGCUAACUACGUGCCAGCAGCCGCGGUAAUACGUAGGUGGCAAGCGUUGUCCGGAUUUAUUGGGCGUAAAGCGAGCGCAGGCGGUUUUUUAAGUCUGAUGUGAAAGCCUUCGGCUCAACCGAAGAAGUGCAUCGGAAACUGGGAAACUUGAGUGCAGAAGAGGACAGUGGAACUCCAUGUGUAGCGGUGAAAUGCGUAGAUAUAUGGAAGAACACCAGUGGCGAAGGCGGCUGUCUGGUCUGUAACUGACGCUGAGGCUCGAAAGUAUGGGUAGCAAACAGGAUUAGAUACCCUGGUAGUCCAUACCGUAAACGAUGAAUGCUAAGUGUUGGAGGGUUUCCGCCCUUCAGUGCUGCAGCUAACGCAUUAAGCAUUCCGCCUGGGGAGUACGGCCGCAAGGCUGAAACUCAAAGGAAUUGACGGGGGGCCCGCACAAGCGGUGGAGCAUGUGGUUUAAUUCGAAGCUACGCGAAGAACCUUACCAGGUCUUGACAUACUAUGCAAAUCUAAGAGAUUAGACGUUCCCUUCGGGGACAUGGAUACAGGUGGUGCAUGGUUGUCGUCAGCUCGUGUCGUGAGAUGUUGGGUUAAGUCCCGCAACGAGCGCAACCCUUAUUAUCAGUUGCCAGCAUUAAGUUGGGCACUCUGGUGAGACUGCCGGUGACAAACCGGAGGAAGGUGGGGAUGACGUCAAAUCAUCAUGCCCCUUAUGACCUGGGCUACACACGUGCUACAAUGGAUGGUACAACGAGUUGCGAACUCGCGAGAGUAAGCUAAUCUCUUAAAGCCAUUCUCAGUUCGGAUUGUAGGCUGCAACUCGCCUACAUGAAGUCGGAAUCGCUAGUAAUCGCGGAUCAGCAUGCCGCGGUGAAUACGUUCCCGGGCCUUGUACACACCGCCCGUCACACCAUGAGAGUUUGUAACACCCAAAGUCGGUGG
This 1405-nucleotide ribosomal RNA is filed under the name Lactobacillus sp. Its description in RNAcentral is "bacterial SSU rRNA". It matches the Rfam family "Bacterial small subunit ribosomal RNA", at positions 62 to 1433 of the family's 1533-position model. Lineage: Bacteria; Bacillati; Bacillota; Bacilli; Lactobacillales; Lactobacillaceae. The record is from RNAcentral.